Long non-coding RNA from Pan troglodytes (chimpanzee), 1079 nucleotides. NCBI's taxonomy places the organism in Eukaryota, Metazoa, Chordata, Mammalia, Primates, Hominidae. The record is from Ensembl.
GUACUUGUCAACUUUGAGCUUCAUUGUGGGAUCAUGCUCAUGUGGGUCAUUUGUUUGCAGAGGUCUUACCGUCAGUAUCAUGAAGGCUUUUUCUUUUUCUCUCUUACUAUUUUGCUAGACUUCAUGAUUUUUUUUUUCCUUUUUGCUAAAAUUUCAGGAUCUACAUAGUAGCAUGCACUGCAGUAUCUUAUUAUAAUGCUGUGCCUUUGAAUAACUUUUUUUUGAGACAAGGUCUUGCUCUGUUGCUCAGGCAGGAGUGCAGUGGCACGGUCAUGGCUCACUGCAGCUUUGACUUUCCAAGCUCAAGCGAUCUUCCCACUUCAGCCUUCCCAGUAGCUGGGACCACAGGCAUGCCCCACCACGCCUGGCUAAUUUUAUUUUUUUUUUAAUUUUGUGAUACAACGUCUUUCUAUGUUUCCCAGGCUGGUGUCAAACUACUGGGCUCAAGUGAUCCUCUCACCUCAGCCUUCAAAAGUGCUGGAACUACAAAUGGGAGCCACCAGGCCAGGUCUUGAAUAACUUUUGUUGCUGAGUAAGACAUUUGGGAAUCUUGUUUCUUUUGUCUUUUACUGACCUUCUAUGCUACUUAACUAUACAAUGUGGCUUAUUACAUAGUGUCUCUUGGUAUUAUAUUCUUUCUCAAAAAGAUAUUUUUUUCCCAUUGCAAAUAAGACAAACAAUGAUGUCUUUAAAACAAAAGAAGUAUUUCCCAGUCUCCUUACUUUGAAACACAUGAUUUUCAUCAACUGCCUUUCUUUUCUUGGCAACAGCCUUUUGGAAAAUUGACAGACUCCACUCACACCAUCCCCAUCCAUUCGCCCACCAUCUGCCUUCCCUCCAAGCUUAAAGAGACGGAUAUCUACCUACAAGGCAAAUCCAAUCAACCAUUAUCCUCCAACUGCCAGACCCUGCUAGUGGCACAUCCAUCAGUACAUGAACCGCAUAUGUCACAGAGUGUAUCAAAGCUAAGGGAAAAUGAACUGGUUCUCUGGAUUUAUUCUAGUCAAACACAGAGCCAGGCUGAACAGGGCUUUUGCUGCUCCAUCUUUGAGUUCCUGGGCAGCUAUGUGGCUCCCUGA